GAUCCUGGCUCAGGAUGAACGCUGGCGGCGUGCUUAACACAUGCAAGUCGAGCGAAGCAAUCUAAGUGAAGUUUUCGGAUGGAUUUUAGAUUGACUGAGCGGCGGACGGGUGAGUAACGCGUGGAUAACCUGCCUCACACAGGGGGAUAACAGUUAGAAAUGACUGCUAAUACCGCAUAAGCGCACGGUUCCGCAUGGAACAGUGUGAAAAACUCCGGUGGUGUGAGAUGGACCCG
This 236-nucleotide ribosomal RNA is filed under the name uncultured bacterium. RNAcentral's name for it is "partial 16S ribosomal RNA". It matches the Rfam family "Bacterial small subunit ribosomal RNA", at positions 15 to 233 of the family's 1533-position model. The record is from RNAcentral.